ACUAGGCAUGAUGGUGCUUGUAAUCCCUGCUACCAGGGAGACUGAGGCUGGUGGAUCACUUGAGCUCGAGAGUUCUGAACUACAGUGGGAUAUCCACACUAGGUCCAGUAUCAGUAUGGUGAGUCCCCAGGAGUGGGAGGGUCAUCAGGUUGUGUGAGGAGGGGUGAACCAGCCAUGGUCAGAAAUAGAGCAGGUCAAACAUCCUGUGCUGAUCAGUAAUGGGAGUAGCCCUUGGUAUCUCCAGCGUGGGUGAGAGAGGGGAGACCUAGUCUCAA
Molecule: signal recognition particle RNA, 275 nt
Filed under: Vombatus ursinus (common wombat)
Lineage: Eukaryota; Metazoa; Chordata; Mammalia; Diprotodontia; Vombatidae
Description: Metazoan signal recognition particle RNA (ENSVURG00010009749.1)
Rfam family: Metazoan signal recognition particle RNA
About the family: The signal recognition particle (SRP) is a universally conserved ribonucleoprotein. It is involved in the co-translational targeting of proteins to membranes.
Source: Rfam by way of RNAcentral